Molecule: ribosomal RNA, 408 nt
Filed under: uncultured Akkermansia sp.
Lineage: Bacteria; Pseudomonadati; Verrucomicrobiota; Verrucomicrobiia; Verrucomicrobiales; Akkermansiaceae
Description: bacterial SSU rRNA
Rfam family: Bacterial small subunit ribosomal RNA
Source: RNAcentral
GUCGAGAAUCAUUCACAAUGGGGGCAACCCUGAUGGUGCGACGCCGCGUGGGGGAGGAAGGUCUUCGGAUUGUAAACCCCUGUCAUGUGGGAGCAAGGCGCAAGCUUGAUAGUACCACAAGAGGAAGAGACGGCAAACUCUGUGCCAGCAGCCGCGGUAAUACAGAGGUCUCAAGCGUUGUUCGGAAUCACUGGGCGUAAAGGGUACGUAGGCUGCCGUAUAAGUCGUGCGUGAAAGGCAGGGGCUCAACCUCUGGAGUGCGCAUGAUACUGUAUGGCUGGAGUAAUGGAGGGGGAACCGGAAUUCUUGGUGUAGCAGUGAAAUGCGUAGAUAUCAAGAAGAAGACUCGUGGCGAAGGCGGGUUCCUGGACAUUCACUGACGCUGAGGUACGAAGGCCGGGGGAGCGA